GACGAACGCUGGCGGCGUGCUUAACACAUGCAAGUCGAACGGAGCGAAUGAAAGCUUGCUUUUAUGAGCUUAGUGGCGAACGGGUGAGUAACACGUAGACAACCUGCCGAUAGGAUGGGGACAACAUUCCGAAAGGAAUGCUAAUACCGAAUGGCGUGUAGGGGAGGCAUCUCCCGUACAUGAAAGAUGGCCUCUGAAUAUGCUAUCACCUAUCGAUGGGUCUGCGUCUGAUUAGCUAGUAGGUAAGGUAACGGCUUACCUAGGCGACGAUCAGUAGCCGGUCUGAGAGGAUGAACGGCCACAUUGGGACUGAGACACGGCCCAGACUCCUACGGGAGGCAGCAGUGGGGAAUCUUCCGCAAUGGGCGCAAGCCUGACGGAGCAACGCCGCGUGAGUGAAGAAGGUCUUCGGAUCGUAAAGCUCUGUUGAAGGGGACGAACGAUCGAGGGGCGAACA
RNAcentral lists this ribosomal RNA (457 nucleotides) under Selenomonas sp. oral taxon E83. RNAcentral describes it as "bacterial SSU rRNA". It matches the Rfam family "Bacterial small subunit ribosomal RNA", at positions 28 to 470 of the family's 1533-position model. The record is from RNAcentral. Lineage: Bacteria; Bacillati; Bacillota; Negativicutes; Selenomonadales; Selenomonadaceae.